This 700-nucleotide ribosomal RNA is filed under the name uncultured bacterium. RNAcentral describes it as "bacterial SSU rRNA". It matches the Rfam family "Bacterial small subunit ribosomal RNA", at positions 68 to 766 of the family's 1533-position model. The record is from RNAcentral.
GAUGACUCUCUAGCUUGCUAGAGAUGAUUAGUGGCGGGCGGGUGAGUAACAUUUAGGAAUCUACCUAGUAGUGGGGGAUAGCUCGGGGAAACUCGAAUUAAUACCGCAUACGACCUACGGGUGAAAGGGGGCGCAAGCUCUUGCUAUUAGAUGAGCCUAAAUCAGAUUAGCUGGUUGGUGGGGUAAAGGCCCACCAAGGCGACGAUCUGUAACUGGUCUGAGAGGAUGAUCAGUCACACCGGAACUGAGACACGGUCCGGACUCCUACGGGAGGCAGCAGUGGGGAAUAUUGGACAAUGGGGGCAACCCUGAUCCAGCCAUGCCGCGUGUGUGAAGAAGGCCUUUUGGUUGUAAAGCACUUUAAGCAGGGAGGAGAGGCUAAUGGUUAAUACCCAUUAGAUUAGACGUUACCUGCAGAAUAAGCACCGGCUAACUCUGUGCCAGCAGCCGCGGUAAUACAGAGGGUGCGAGCGUUAAUCGGAAUUACUGGGCGUAAAGCGAGUGUAGGUGGCUCAUUAAGUCACAUGUGAAAUCCCCGGGCUUAACCUGGGAACUGCAUGUGAUACUGGUGGUGCUAGAAUAUGUGAGAGGGAAGUAGAAUUCCAGGUGUAGCGGUGAAAUGCGUAGAGAUCUGGAGGAAUACCGAUGGCGAAGGCAGCUUCCUGGCAUAAUAUUGACACUGAGAUUCGAAAGCGUGGGU